Molecule: ribosomal RNA, 494 nt
Filed under: uncultured bacterium
Lineage: Bacteria
Description: partial 16S ribosomal RNA
Rfam family: Bacterial small subunit ribosomal RNA
Source: RNAcentral
AUGAACGCUGGCGGCGUGCCUAAUCCAUGCAAGUAGAACGCUGAAGGAGGAGCUUGCUCUUCUGGAUGAGUUGCGAACGGGUGAGUAACGCGUAGGUAACCUGCCUGGUAGCGGGGGAUAACUAUUGGAAACGAUAGCUAAUACCGCAUGACAACAGUUAUUGCAUGAUAACUGUUUAAAAGGGGCAACUGCUCCACUACCAGAUGGACCUGCGUUGUAUUAGCUAGUUGGUGAGGUAACGGCUCACCAAGGCGACGAUACAUAGCCGACCUGAGAGGGUGAUCGGCCACACUGGGACUGAGACACGGCCCAGACUCCUACGGGAGGCAGCAGUAGGGAAUCUUCGGCAAUGGACGGAAGUCUGACCGAGCAACGCCGCGUGAGUGAAGAAGGUUUUCGGAUCGUAAAGCUCUGUUGUAAGAGAAGAACGAGUGUGAGAGUGGAAAGUUCACACUGUGACGGUAUCUUACCAGAAAGGGACGGCUAACUACGUG